CUAAUAUUCACUCCAUCCGGAAAUACUUGUCGAAGAAAUGGAUAGAAAUGGACGUAUCUAGAACUAAAAUACGUUUAGAUACAUCCAUUUCUCCAACAAGUAUUUCUGGUCGGAGUAUUUAACAU
Molecule: non-coding RNA, 125 nt
Organism: Triticum urartu
Lineage: Eukaryota; Viridiplantae; Streptophyta; Magnoliopsida; Poales; Poaceae
Source: Rfam